RNAcentral lists this long non-coding RNA (248 nucleotides) under Mytilus galloprovincialis (Mediterranean mussel). Lineage: Eukaryota; Metazoa; Mollusca; Bivalvia; Mytilida; Mytilidae. The record is from RNAcentral.
ACACUUUAUAGUGACUGAACAGGUUGAUUUAACUUCCUCAAGAAACAGAAAAAGAAGACGAAUUCAAUGGAACAGCUCUAGACUAUUUAACAUGCAAGCUGAUUAUAGAUAGAUUUAUAAGGAUAGUAACGUAAGUUAUCAAUAGAUUGAAUAAUAAUGGGGAUAACCAACAUUUUUAUGCCGCAGCCUUAGCUAUGGAUGUUAUAGUUUGACUCGACCAAAUGUUUGAAACUUAUACACAAUGCUUA